RNAcentral lists this ribosomal RNA (165 nucleotides) under uncultured bacterium. RNAcentral's name for it is "partial 16S rRNA". It matches the Rfam family "Bacterial small subunit ribosomal RNA", at positions 355 to 511 of the family's 1533-position model. The record is from RNAcentral.
UAGGGAAUCUUCGGCAAUGGACGAAAAGUCUGACCGAGCAACGCCGCGUGAGUGAAGAAGGUUUUCGGAUCGUAAAACUCUGUUGGUAGAGAAGAACGUUGGUGAGAGUGGAAAGCUCAUCAAGUGACGGUAACUACCCAGAAAGGGCGGCUAACUACGUGCCAC